This 206-nucleotide ribosomal RNA is filed under the name uncultured bacterium. RNAcentral's name for it is "partial 16S ribosomal RNA". It matches the Rfam family "Bacterial small subunit ribosomal RNA", at positions 568 to 774 of the family's 1533-position model. The record is from RNAcentral.
CUCGUAGGCGGCCAACUAAGUCGGAUGUGAAAUCCCCAGGCUUAACCUGGGAACUGCAUCCGAUACUGGAUGGCUUGAAUCCGGGAGAGGGAUGCAGAAUUCCAGGUGUAGCGGUGAAAUGCGUAGAUAUCUGGAGGAAUACCGGUGGCGAAGGCGGCAUCCUGGACCGGCAUUGACGCUGAUGCGCGAAAGCUAGGUAGCAAACA